Molecule: ribosomal RNA, 146 nt
Filed under: Pseudomonas aeruginosa
Lineage: Bacteria; Pseudomonadati; Pseudomonadota; Gammaproteobacteria; Pseudomonadales; Pseudomonadaceae
Description: partial 23S ribosomal RNA
Rfam family: Bacterial large subunit ribosomal RNA
Source: RNAcentral
UCAAGAUGAGAUCUCACUGGGAACUUGAUUCCCCUGAAGGGCCGUCGAAGACUACGACGUUGAUAGGCUGGGUGUGUAAGCGUUGUGAGGCGUUGAGCUAACCAGUACUAAUUGCCCGUGAGGCUUGACCAUAUAACACCCAAACA